Molecule: small nucleolar RNA, 144 nt
Organism: Chanos chanos (milkfish)
Lineage: Eukaryota; Metazoa; Chordata; Actinopteri; Gonorynchiformes; Chanidae
Product: small nucleolar RNA SNORA29
Exons: 1
Source: RefSeq, a predicted model, not a curated record
CUUCCUGCUUUAGUACCGCCCAUCUGUUUUCCCUUUGGGUGUGCGGCUAUGCUAACAGGAUAGAGCAACUGUCUGUCAAAGUCUGAGGGGACAGAUGGCCACACACUCCCACUGCCCCUACAUGAAUUGACAGCACAAUUAAAA